This 274-nucleotide ribosomal RNA is filed under the name uncultured bacterium. Its description in RNAcentral is "partial 16S ribosomal RNA". It matches the Rfam family "Bacterial small subunit ribosomal RNA", at positions 523 to 796 of the family's 1533-position model. The record is from RNAcentral.
AUACGGAGGGUGCGAGCGUUAUCCGGAUUUAUUAGGUUUAAAGGGUGUGUAGGCGGGGGCCUAAGUCAGUGGUGAAAUCUCACAGCUUAACUGUGAAACUGCCAUUGAAACUGGGUUUCUUGAGUAUAGUUGAGGUAGGCGGAAUGUGUAAUGUAGCGGUGAAAUGCAUAGAUAUUACACAGAACACCGAUUGCGAAGGCAGCUUACUAAGCUAUUACUGACGCUGAUGCACGAAAGCGUGGGUAGCGAACAGGAUUAGAUACCCCAGUAGUCC